This is a non-coding RNA of Oryctolagus cuniculus (rabbit), 292 nucleotides long. The record is from RefSeq and is a predicted model, not a curated record. NCBI's taxonomy places the organism in Eukaryota, Metazoa, Chordata, Mammalia, Lagomorpha, Leporidae.
UGGAGCCUGCUCAUCUUCCUUGUAAAACCCGGCUAGGCCUUCACCCUGGACAGGAGCAACUGGUUCGGAGUCAGCGGCUCAGCCAUGAGGAAGCCGAGAAGUGAUGUCUGCCUCCCCUCCUCCCUCCCAGAGGAUCUGGAUGUGAAACUAACCCAGAGUGGACGCUGAAGCUCAGCUGCCAAGUAAUCUCCCAUUCCCAGAGAGACUGCACAGCUUCCUGCUCAACGCCAGCUGGGUCUUCUUCCUGGAGAGGAGCAACAGACAUUUUCAUGGAUAUGAAACUGGACACCAA